RNAcentral lists this unclassified non-coding RNA (222 nucleotides) under uncultured fungus. RNAcentral's name for it is "sequence contains ITS1". Lineage: Eukaryota; Fungi. The record is from RNAcentral.
UAGAAUGUAACCUUUUUGGUACACUCUUGUCUAUCCCUUUGUCUACCUUACUCUGUUGCUUCCAUGGUGCCAGCCAAUUCUUUGGCUCCGGGCAGGUGCUAAACCCACCUGUUUGGAAGUGCCCAUGGGUGGUUCGCCCGGGGAACGCCUGUACCCGGGGGAACCAACCUUAUAAAAAUCUGAAACUUGAGAAAUUGUCUGAACGUAUAUUAAAAUACAAAU